CCUACGGGGGGCAGCAGUGGGGAAUAUUGCACAAUGGGGGAAACCCUGAUGCAGCGACGCCGCGUGAGGGAUGAAGGUCUUCGGAUCGUAAACCUCUGUCAGCAGGGACGAACGGUCACUGUGCUAAUCAUCAGUGAAUUGACGGUACCUGCAAAGUAAGCACCGGCUAACUCCGUACCAGCAGCCGCGGUAAUACGGAGGGUGCGAGCGUUAAGCGGAAUUACUGGGCGUAAAGCGCUCGUAGGAGGUAUGUCAAGUCAAGGGUGAAAUCCCCGCGCUCAACUUGGGAACUGCGUUUGAAACUGGCAAACUGGAGUGUGUGAGAGGAUAGUGGAAUUCCAGGUGUAGGAGUGAAAUCCGUAGAUAUCUGGAGGAACAUCAGUGGCGAAGGCGACUAUCUGGCACAUAACUGACGCUGAGGAGCGAAAGCGUGGGUAGCAAACAGGAUUAGAUACCCUAGUAGUC
RNAcentral lists this ribosomal RNA (465 nucleotides) under uncultured bacterium. RNAcentral describes it as "partial 16S ribosomal RNA". It matches the Rfam family "Bacterial small subunit ribosomal RNA", at positions 338 to 795 of the family's 1533-position model. The record is from RNAcentral.